This is a long non-coding RNA of Cyprinus carpio carpio, 2280 nucleotides long. NCBI's taxonomy places the organism in Eukaryota, Metazoa, Chordata, Actinopteri, Cypriniformes, Cyprinidae. The record is from Ensembl.
AGGGGACUGAGGAGACACAAAGCAAACAAUGUCUCUGAGCUCCAUGUCAUCUGGAUGAGAAAACAGAUCCACCACCGCCUCAGAAUACAGAAGAAGAAAGAUACACAGGCUUGAAACUUCAUGUGAAUCAAUGAGUGAGUAAAUAAUGACAGAAUUUUCAUUUUUGGAUCAACCAUUCCUUUAAUCACAUAAUUGAUGAAUACCAGGCAGUUUUCUCCUCUCUGUUGUCCAUUAUGAGAGUCACUAUAAAUGUGUUCCUAAUAAAGGAGUUAAUCUGCGAGCAUAUUUUAUGUCGUUGGGAGAAAGUCACUGCGUAAUAUGAUGUGGUUUGGGCUGUAGCACUCAUCCAUAUUUCACUAAGACCACUGGGAAUUGUGUGCUAUGAAUCCCGUAACAGUGUCCUUUUAACACAAUUUCAACCACAACAAGAUGCACUAGGCAAAAAAUGAAGUUUCUCAAUCACUUUACAUAAGGCAGAAUCCAUGUAAUCUAUGAGUAUUGCACAGCUUCGUUUGCAGAAUGGGAAUAAUGUGCGUCUGUUUUCCUUUUUUCCCCGUCAGGCCUUAUCUUUCCAGAAUCAAUUCAUUAUUUGAAGCUUAUUUGAAAAAGCCCACUGCAUCAUCAAUGAAGAAAGGGUGUGCUGACAAUUGCAUUAAUUACUUUAUCUAAAUCAUUUCCAAUUAACCUUACACACCACCUUACAAAUAGAGUCUUGCCAGGCCACCCUGAAUGACGCCGUCUCCUAAAGACAGACAGAUUUUUUUUUUUUUUUUUAAGGGGAGAGAAGAAGAGAGAAUUUAGAGUAGGGGAAUUUCGGGCAGGCACAGAUAAGACUGCCACUUAGUCUGAGGGCUCUUCCUUUCAAGACUACACAUUACAUUUUGGUUAAUUAAUUUCACAUUGAUAUAUGGUUUAAUUUAACACUGAUUGUCAUGUUCUGGGUAUAGGGUUUGCUCAUUUUACAAAUUAGAUUUCAGGUGUAUUUAGAAAAUAAUGCUGAUCGUCAAAGUAACAUGGGAGGAGAUGUCUUCUGUGCUGUCCUGUGAGGAGAAACAAAGCCUACAUUUUAUCACUUCUUUUUAAAUAUCCAAUAAUGUUCUUUAAAAAAUGUACAUUUGACAUUACAUAUACAAAAUGUAACUAUUACAGUUAAAAAUGUAUUGAUCAGUCAUUUGGCAAAGUGAAAAUGAAGUAUGGUGUGAAUUUCAUUUUAUGUGUCUAGUUUCAGUGAGUUCAUUGACGCUGUUGGUGAUCGCCGAGGAGGAAAAACACAGUCUAUGCUGGAACUUUAAAUGUUAAUUAUAAUGCUGGCAGAAGAACUGAGAAGUUCGGAGCUUAAUGAUAAAUAAAAUGCAGCUGCAGUGAAGACUGUGUCUAGACUGUUACUAAAACAGCAAGACUUUCACAGGAAGAGAAAGAGUAAAACAAUACAGUUGUAAAGGAAGGAGAGACUAAGCAAGCAUGAUAAGGAAAGAGAAGAUUACUACUUAAAAUAAAUUAAAUGUAUUUUUGAUGAUCAUUUUCAAAUUAACAAUUUAAUUUCAUGUAAUUAAAUUUUUAAUAACAAUUAAAUCCACAAAUUAGAUGAUUUUUAUUUUUUUAUUUUUUAAAAUGCUAUAAUCUGCCUUAAGACUUUCUUUUCCUCUCGUAAACAGAAGAACAAACUUUUGCCUCCAGUAUAAUAAAUACAUUUCCUGCAGUGCCAAAAGUAUGUACAAUAACAAGUAAGACUUGAUAUCUAACAUGCAAAUACACUUGUGUGCACAUUAACCAUCUCUUUAUUAAACAUGAGGCAAAGUUUCAUACCUGUUUUUGGAUGUAAUUAUAUAAAGAAAAAAAAAGUGUAUGUGUUGGGGGGUGAGUGGGUGGUUAUUUAUUUAUUUAUCUCAGAGCUCAUGGUCUCUCAUGGAAAAAGGGGGGAAAAACAGCCCCACUCUCCUCUCUUUUUGAUGUGUUUGCCUUCACGGCUUCUGAGCGCUCUCUAAUUCCAUCUGGCCACAACAGAGGCGGUGGAAUGGCACGAAAAAGCAUUUCCAUAUGUGCAAAUUAGGAGGCUGCCUUCCUAAAACUGCAGCGCCAUUCCUCUGAAGUAGAUAGCACUGCGGAGAGCUGCCAAGUCCUCUAAUGGCAAUCAAGAGGAGAGUUCUUAUUGGCCUGUGUCUACCUCGGGUUACAAUAGUGCAUUUUCAUCCUGCAAUUCCAGGUGUGUUUUAAAAUGUAGUAACAACAGGGUAAAAAGAAAAAAAAAUACUAGGAAAGAUUUUUAUUUGUAUACACAUU